GCCGUAGUAAAUAGACUUUCUGCUUCCUCUAUUCCUGUGGUUUGGCUUCAUUGGCCGCUUUGUCUUGUACUUGUUUUUUAAAUGUUAUUGCUGAUUCACUGUCUCGUUUGCAGUAAGCGAGGUUUCAUCGGGUGGCUCAAGGCGCGCAAGUGAAGGGUUUGUCCAGUCCGGAAGAAGUGUGGCAGCUCGGCGGACUGAUAAGGGAGUCUGUGGUGCCUUCUACUUGGGCACUGUACAGUAAGGUGUGGCAAGAAUGGGAUGACACGUUGAACUAUGCGGGGGGUAAGCUUUCAGCGGAUGCACUGUUGGAC
Molecule: non-coding RNA, 311 nt
Organism: Pelobates cultripes (western spadefoot toad)
Lineage: Eukaryota; Metazoa; Chordata; Amphibia; Anura; Pelobatidae
Source: the annotation of a GenBank genome assembly